CGUAGAUAACCUGCCUGUAUGACCGGGAUAACAGUUGGAAACGACUGCUAAUACCGGAUAGGCAGAGAGGAGGCAUCUCUUCUCUGUUAAAGUUGGGACACAACGCAAACAGAUGGAUCUGCGGUGCAUUAGCUAGUUGGUGAGGUAACGGCCCACCAAGGCGAUGAUGCAUAGCCGGCCUGAGAGGGCGAACGGCCACAUUGGGACUGAGGCACGGCCCAAACUCCUACGGGAGGCAGCAUG
RNAcentral lists this ribosomal RNA (243 nucleotides) under uncultured bacterium. RNAcentral describes it as "partial 16S ribosomal RNA". It matches the Rfam family "Bacterial small subunit ribosomal RNA", at positions 116 to 353 of the family's 1533-position model. The record is from RNAcentral.